UACGAAGGGGGCUAGCGUUGCUCGGAAUCACUGGGCGUAAAGCGCACGUAGGCGGACUUUUAAGUCAGGGGUGAAAUCCUGGAGCUCAACUCCAGAACUGCCUUUGAUACUGGAAGUCUUGAGUCCGGAAGAGGUAAGUGGAACUGCGAGUGUAGAGGUGAAAUUCGUAGAUAUUCGCAAGAACACCAGUGGCGAAGGCGGCUCACUGGCCCGGUACUGACGCUGAGGUGCGAAAGCGUGGGGAGCAAACAGG
RNAcentral lists this ribosomal RNA (253 nucleotides) under uncultured bacterium. RNAcentral's name for it is "partial 16S ribosomal RNA". It matches the Rfam family "Bacterial small subunit ribosomal RNA", at positions 524 to 776 of the family's 1533-position model. The record is from RNAcentral.